This 22-nucleotide non-coding RNA is filed under the name Arabidopsis thaliana (thale cress). Lineage: Eukaryota; Viridiplantae; Streptophyta; Magnoliopsida; Brassicales; Brassicaceae. The record is from RNAcentral.
GGGCUACACUACGCGUGAGAUA